UGAGGGAUUAUUAAAAAAGACACACUUUUAAAUCAUAACAUCUCAAAAAAGAAGUGCACAUAAUAGGUUUCCUUUGUCUAGGGUCCUAAGCUGUAUGUUGUCUGACUCAACUAAUGCAGCUUUAUUCAAAUUGAAUGCAUAACAUUUAGAGUGUAUGUGAUGAUCAUUUUAUCAAACUCUCAUAAAUACUUUAAAAUUAGUCUCAAUUGAUAGGUGGUCAAAGGAAAUUUUCGGAAAAAAAUAAAAUAAACUAAUAAUAAAAAUAAAUUUUUAUUAAUUUUUAAUUAAACAAUGAUUAUUAUUUUUUGAAAAUUGACAAGGACUUGACAAAUUAGUAGUUCGGCCCUCAUACAUGCUUGAUUUCAUGUUUGGAGUGCAACAUUGCAAACAAUUUGGGAGAAAUUGGGGAAAUUUCAAAAAAAAUCUCCAAAUUGGACCACCAACACUCGAAUUUCGAAAUUCAAGUGUAUGUGAUGAUCAUUUCAUCAAAUACUCCAAAAUACUUCGAAAUUGGGAAAAUUGUUGAAUUUUUCAAUUAAAGUUGAGGGAUUAUUAAAAAAGACACUUUUAAAUCAUAACAUCUCAAAAAAGAAGUGCACCUAAUAGGUUUCCUUUGUCUAGGGUCCUAAGCUAUAUGUUGUCUGACUCAACUAAUGCAACUAUAUUCAAAUUAAAUGCAUAACUUUUAGAGUGUAUGUGAUGAUCAUUUUAUCAAACUCUCAUAAAUACUUUAAAAUUAGUCUCAAUUGAUAGGUGGUUGAAGGAAAUUUUCGAAUAAUAAUAAUAAUAAUAAAAUUUUAUUAAUUUUUAAUUAAACAAUGAUUAUUAUUUUUUGAAAAUUGACAAGGACUUGACAAAUUAGUAGAUCGGCCCUCAUACAUGCUUAAUUUUAUGUUUGGAGUGCAACAUUGCAAACAAUUUGGGAGAAAUUGGGGACUUUUCAAAACAAAUCUCCAAAUUGGACCACCAACACUCAAAUUUUGAAAUUAAAGUGUAUGUGACGAUCAUUUCAUCAAAGACUCCAAAAUACUUCGAAAUUAAUCUCAAUUGAUAGCUAGUUUUGUUUUUUUUUAAAAAAAAAAACAAAACAAAACAUGAAGCACCAAUUGAUGUCGAAAUCAAAGCUCCAACUCCAUGACCCAAAAGUAGGCGAAUCAACCCAUUGGAUUGGACAAUGUAUGAAACAAAUGGAAUGAUAAAGCAAUAAUAUCUACAUCUGAUUAUUUAAGCUGCCCUGAUUUUUGGGCCAGUAUCUACAAUGUCUGACUGAAUGGCACGUGUUGUGGCAUGUAGAUGUGACCUCAAUGCAUACAAAUGCAAACUUAGCAGAAAAUGCUUGUAGCGUGCUAUUGUCUUGGGGUUUUUCAUUUUUCUUUUUAGCUUGUAAAUGAAGUGGAAUCGACAUAUCAGACACCAUUGCUGUUUUUUGGUUUGGUUCUCAGCUAUCCAGCUAUAAUCAAUGAUGUAUUAUAUAAUGCUCGGCAGAAGGUUUGUUCAGUAGGAUCAGGCUUUCAGUUUUUGUGCAAGUUGGGCCAAUGAUGAUCCAAACACUGAUGUGGUGGGCCUCACUGCUGAUGGCCUAUGCACCAAAAACUUCACAAUAUGAAGAUCCUGGCUAUAGAGCGUUUGAACUUUGUAUUGGUUGAACGGGUACUCAUUUCUGUAUUUUCUUUCUUAACUGUUUCUUAGCUGUCGGCCUAUUGAAAGGUUUAACAAAUUCUCCAUUAUGGAGGUUUUGGUGCAUGGACCAUAUGCAGUGGGAUGCACAGUAUCAACAUUCGUAUUGCAGAACAAUAGGCCCUGCAUCAAAAUGAAAGCCCAGAUGGUAUGAGCUCUUGGCCCCAGCAUUGUAUUAGUACCUCAUUGUUGACAGCUUGAAAUUGGAAAGUUAAUGCUUGGCAGGCCUCGUUGAUUUGGUGCUUUUGAAGAGGCAUGACUCAUGGAAACUUCAGUGAGAGGCUUCCAUACUUCCUAAACAUCGAAUAAGCAGAUUUUGCGCUUGUUAACGUGUUUCAACAAUAAUCUGAAACAUAAUUUAUAAACCAUCUCAAUGGGGCUGCUGGGAUUGAAGCAAAGUUGUCUGCAUACGCUGUGUAGGUCAUGCUUUCAGGACUAGUUAUUCUAUUCUUUAUUUCUCAAAUACUCAAGGGCAUGCGUGCUUUGCUUUUUUUAAAAAGUGUUUUCUUUUUGUGAUUUUGACUCUGAAAAUCACUUUUUUAGGCUUUUUGAGUGUGGUUGGUUGGCAAUUAAUUAAUCAAAAUUGAGAAAAACAGUUUUCCAAAAUUGUGCUUUUUUCGAAGCGAAGCCCCUGGUUUCCUACAGUCGUUUCAACUCCAAUAAACUUUGGAAAAGCGCACAGGUAAAAUCAAAGGUUCUCUUUGUUAUUGGAAGGUCUGUUAAUUGCACAAUUGAGAGGUGUACACUCCCACUUGCUAUCAUGGCAUGCAGGUCCAAGAGCAAAUCCAUCCACCGGUUGGUCUGACCAUAUUUUCCCUAAUGGUAAUUUGGUCCACUCGGAAGUUGGGCCCUAAUAUUGGAAAUAGGUGGAAGGGUUAGAAAACUUAAAAGAGUGUUUUAGAGCCGUGCAUUUGUUUUGCAAACUGUAGCCCUCCUAACCGGUGGAUCAUCCUAAUUCUCGGGCUAGGGCAUCAAUAUAGGUUUCUUUCAAAUGGAUGGAUUGGGUAUUUGAUUUACAUGCCAUAAUGGCAAACGUGAGGUGUUACAUGAGUUGUCAUGCCUAUGGGCUUAGCUAGUAUCAUCUUAGGAGAAGUCUGAUGGAUGUGACUUUCGAGGACAAGUCAUUAUUUUCUUAGCAUCCUGAGUGGGUAGUUAUUUUCAUAGGAUCUUACUUAUAAAUGAGUUGUACAAAUUAAAGACAGGCUAUAUAGGCAGUGUUGUUGAUGUCUACUAAACAAAACAUUUGCUUACAUAAGUUUGCUUUAAACCAAACGGUCAGAUGUGUAUAAUUCCAUGGUGGAAGCGUGAAAUAAACCUGGGUCCUGUCGGUCCGUCCUUCCUAACCAAUUUUGUGAGAAUGGUCACACAUAUAUAGCUAGGUUUAAAGUAUCAUCAGCGCACAGGUGUAACUGAUCUCAUGUCCGUACUGGCUUGGAACAGGCUGAUGUUGAUGCUAUAAUCCCAUAUGAUAGUGAAUGUUAUGAUAGAGUAAAAUUGGAUCUUAAUUGUUGAUGCACAUAUAUGUAACUAUUUUGAGAAGUAAUAGCACAAGUUUGAAGCCCGUCACCAAAAUACUCUUUUAUACAUACUUUGGACGGUAAAAAACAGUGUAAUAGGCUAUUGUGGGGGUUGGCUUGGCCACAAUCAAAUGCUACCUAAUGGUCUAUUAUAUAGUAGAAUCAACUGGUUCUGAUGCAGUUGGGCUCAUGGUUUGGCUGGGGGCCCAUACAUAUUACUGACUGGAAUACCUCAUCUGAUCUGUGGUUUUUCUCGAUUCUUUUACUGUGUAUUUUCUCAACCCACUUUUUAUUUUUAUUUUUUGUGGCUACCGAUCAAGGGCUGGGAUCUUUGGAAACGGAUUGUGUCCAGCAGGGUACUGGAGUUGUUCCAUCCAGCUCCUAUGAAAAAGCGAGGCACAUGUACAGAUCACCUGGAUGUGGGCUGGCGCAUGCUGCAAAAGGACAGUUAUGCAGAAGGUUGGGGAGUUGGGGUCAAGGGCAUUGAAAACGUAGCUUGUCUAACCCCCCGAGGAAAGGAAAAUUGAUAAAAGAAUAGAAACUGUCGCUUUCUUGGAUGACAGAAAUGCUACUUCUAAUCCUGAUGCUGACAGCCAGAGUCACCUUGCCAUUUAAACGUUAGAUUGUUUGUUUAUUUAUUUUAUACUGUAUUCUCUGC
Magnolia sinica is the source of this 3852-nucleotide long non-coding RNA. RefSeq lists it as uncharacterized. NCBI's taxonomy places the organism in Eukaryota, Viridiplantae, Streptophyta, Magnoliopsida, Magnoliales, Magnoliaceae. The record is from RefSeq and is a predicted model, not a curated record. The transcript has 2 exons.